RNAcentral lists this ribosomal RNA (204 nucleotides) under uncultured bacterium. RNAcentral describes it as "partial 16S ribosomal RNA". It matches the Rfam family "Bacterial small subunit ribosomal RNA", at positions 524 to 727 of the family's 1533-position model. The record is from RNAcentral.
UACGUAGGGUCCGAGCGUUGUCCGGAAUUACUGGGCGUAAAGAGCUCGUAGGUGGUUUGUCGCGUUGUCCGUGAAAUUCCCUGGCUUAACUGGGGGCGUGCGGGCGAUACGGGCAGACUGGAGUACUGCAGGGGAGACUGGAAUUCCUGGUGUAGCGGUGGAAUGCGCAGAUAUCAGGAGGAACACCGGUGGCGAAGGCGGGUC